Molecule: non-coding RNA, 302 nt
Organism: Pelobates cultripes (western spadefoot toad)
Lineage: Eukaryota; Metazoa; Chordata; Amphibia; Anura; Pelobatidae
Source: the annotation of a GenBank genome assembly
GCCUGCUGUAAACAUAGCAGUUUACAUUUGGAGUUAAGCUAGCCUCUAGUGGCUGUCUUCUGGACAACCACUAGAUGCGCAUUUUAUGCCUCCAUCAUGCAGAGCGUCCAUAGGAAAGCAUUGAAAAAUGCUGUCCUAUGGUCACUUUGAAUGUGCGCGCGGCACUGCCACACAUGCGCAUUCCGCUCCGCUGACGUCAGACGGGUGACCUGACGUCGGCGGGGGAGGAGAGGUAAGGGAGCCCAGCGGUGGAAGGUGGUGAGUAACUGAAGGGGUUUUAACCACUUCAGCACCACGGGAGG